RNAcentral lists this long non-coding RNA (1047 nucleotides) under Pongo abelii (Sumatran orangutan). RNAcentral's name for it is "lincRNA". Lineage: Eukaryota; Metazoa; Chordata; Mammalia; Primates; Hominidae. The record is from RNAcentral.
GCGACCUGGGGCGCGCUGGGCCCCACAGAGCAGCCGCGGACCCCGGCGAUCGUGCCGUGUUCGUCUCCUUUGUGUUUCUUUAUUGAGUCCCUACUACCUCUACCGAUAUUCUGGGGGCAGUUAAAGAAAAUCACCGCUUCCUAGGCAGCACAUAUCUCCCGUAGAAAUGUGGAACGUAAGACAAGCACAUAAAGCAAUCCAAGUUGCCUGCAGAUAUCCACAGCCUACUUCAGUCCCAGUAAUGCUCUUUUAACCUGGUGCAUCAGUUUAAGGGAAAACAUGAGAUCAUGGGUUUAAGUGAGGCUUCAUCAUGCCAAGACAAUGUGAUCAGUUAUUCCCAACCUAUAUAACUCACAUACACUGGAGGAAAUAUCUUCAUGGAAUUAAAAACACAUGGAGUAACAUUUCACAUAAGCAGAAUUCAGGAAGGAUUUCAGUAAUUCCAUCCCAAACACACACAGGCAAAGGGAGUGAAGAUUUCUUCAGCAACCUGGUGGCAGAAAGACCAUGAAAAGAUCCAGGCCAGUCUAAGCUCACUGCAGUUAAAUCUUCAGUCUCCAGCACUGCACUUGGGAAAGCAUCAAGGAGUUGAAUGUAUAUGUAAUUGGAGUGCCAGAAGAAGAGAACCGAGAGAGAGGGGCAGAACAGCUCAUGAAGGGAAAACCCACUACAUACAAACAAGAAUACUGCAGACUCCUCAUCGGAAUCUAUGCUACCUUUACAAGCACAGAGCUGCUCUCACCACACAGCCAAAGAGGAAAUGAGGAUAUCAGUCCUAUAACUGCAAGGAACUGAAUGCUGCCAACCACCUGAAUGGAUUUGGGCUACUGAGAAGAAGCUACUCUAGCAAAGCUGGAGGAAUUCCACCAGACUGACAGAACAACACAAAUAAGUCCAUGCCUGAUGCACAGCAGAGGCUCAAGGCCAGUUUGUGGACUCGAAGCCCUGUUAGAAUGGAUGGAAUUUGGUCUUAUGAAGCAGAUAGAAGAACAGGAGCUUGACUGUAAAGAUUUGUCUCCACCUCUUAAUAAAGUGUAUCAUCUCCGA